AAGGAAAUCCCGAUGGUGAAAGUCGUGUGGAACCACCACAACUUGGAAGAAUGCACUUGGGAGACACGGGAGUCUAUGCUCCAGCAGUACCCUCAUCUCUUUUAAGGUUAGAUCCCUAUGUGUUUAUGUGCCUUGUAUGUGUGUUAUGUUCUUUGCCAUGCUAUGUGUGCUAGUGAGGAACAUUCGGGGACGAAUGUUCUUAAGGGGGGGAGAAUGUAAUACCCGGCUAGACUCCGGUAUCGGAAUUCCUACCGUCCGGUGGGAUCCCGGAUGUCGGAGACCUCUAGAAGGGUAAAAUCAUGUUUUUGUAAAA
RNAcentral lists this long non-coding RNA (313 nucleotides) under Manihot esculenta (cassava). RNAcentral describes it as "long non-coding RNA (MESC_LNC008630)". Lineage: Eukaryota; Viridiplantae; Streptophyta; Magnoliopsida; Malpighiales; Euphorbiaceae. The record is from RNAcentral.